This 483-nucleotide ribosomal RNA is filed under the name uncultured bacterium. RNAcentral describes it as "partial 16S ribosomal RNA". It matches the Rfam family "Bacterial small subunit ribosomal RNA", at positions 28 to 507 of the family's 1533-position model. The record is from RNAcentral.
GACGAACGCUGGCGGCGUGCUUAACACAUGCAAGUCGAACGCUGAAGCUCAGCUUUUGUUGGGUGGAUGAGUGGCGAACGGGUGAGUAACACGUGAGUAACCUGCCUCCUUCUUUGGGAUAACGCCCGGAAACGGGUGCUAAUACUGGAUAUUCACUGGUCUUCGCAUGGGGGUUGGUGGAAAGGGUUUUUCUGGUGGGGGAUGGGCUCGCGGCCUAUCAGCUUGUUGGUGGGGUGAUGGCCUACCAAGGCUUUGACGGGUAGCCGGCCUGAGAGGGUGACCGGUCACAUUGGGACUGAGAUACGGCCCAGACUCCUACGGGAGGCAGCAGUGGGGAAUAUUGCACAAUGGGCGCAAGACUGAUGCAGCGACGCCGCGUGAGGGAUGGAGGCCGUCGGGUUGUGAACCUCUUUCGCUCAUGGUCAAGCCGCAACAAUGGUUGUGGUGAGGGUAGUGGGUAAAGAAGCGCCGGCUAACUACGUG